UGCUAUAUUAUGUUCUAUCUCUAUGUUAUAGAAUAAUAUAUUCUGUUAAAAUUAAAUAAUAAUUUGUUUUUUAUAAAACCGGAAUAAUAUAAUGCAAAUGGACAAAUGGUAUUGAAAAAUGGUUUUUGAUGGAAUGAUAUGGAAUUCGAGAUUUUUUUAUUUGAGCAAUAAAACUGCUAAUCUAAACACUAACACAGAGUGAUCGAGUGAUACGUUUUCAAUACCAAAAAUCUCAACGGCGAGAACAGAGAUGCCGUUAUCUAUUCAAAUUACACAGUAUGUACAGAGUUUCUUCUGCAUUUGAUAUGUGACAAACACAUUACACAAUUGCUCGCAGUUGAAGAAGAAAGCAGGCUUCUGCACUCUCCACCAGCAUUAUUGGCCAUUUCAUUUGGCCCAGUUAUAGGUACAACAGCAAGAUGGUUAGCUGAUUUAAUGCCGUAUCACAUGUCGCUUUCUGCGAUGAAGUCUCUUGACAAAUAGUAAUUAUUAAGGUCAGGUCCAUUUUCAUGUGUACAAAAGUCGCACCUUCACUCCAAACUCACUGUUCACUUUCUUUUACGCAAGCUCAUUUCUUUUACCCGAUGGUUUUUGUUAUAGAAUCAUCAUAUUUGUUCUUCAAUAUUGUCCACAGAUACAUGAAUAAAGUUACUCAACCGAUAUAAAUAGCAAAGAGUAAUACUAAAGAUCCAAAAAGAAUCUUGAUACCAAAGUGAAUUGAUUUAAUUCGCGAUAUUUCUCUCUAGUAUAUUCAACAAGACCAAGGUGGUGAAACCUAACUUCUAAAUUUAUAAAUUAGAAGCACUUGUUGGCACCGUUUGUGUAAAAAAUCAAGAAUUACUCAUAAAAAGCAGAGAAUCCUAACUUGUGUUUCAUAACUUCUACUUCUUUCUCAAACACUUUAAUCACUUAUAAGUCUUAAUUUGCUUUAACCUUUUAUUCAACUUUUUUAAUUUAAGGAAAAAACACUUAUUUUAAGUUUAGCCAGACGGUGCCCAGAAUUAUUUGUGUUUUGUUGGAAAAUAUUCAAGCUUACUUUAAUUUUCACAAUUCCUAAAUAAAUACUUCAUUCGCAUCUCUCAUUUUUCUACAAUUUUUUGUUUGACACACAUUUUAAGAUGUAUAAAGUAUGAUUUCAUGAUUUACUUUUAAAAUCUUCUUUUUUAUACAAAUAUCUAAACAUUAAGUUUCUAUUAAAAAAUUUUAAAAUAACUCAUGAAACUACAUUUUAUCAAAAUUUAAAAUGUGUAACAACAUAUGCAGACAGCCGGAAUAUAUGUGGUAGACAUGGUGAAAACCCCAAGGAGGAUGCAAGAUAUUUUCAAUAUUCACAACCACCGAACAGGGAAUCAGGCCUGUACUCGGGGGUCGUUGCUCAUUGGUCCACCGGGUAGUAGAAAAUAUGCAGACAAAUAAUAUUGCUUGUCGUCUUCAAUCAUAUUCACACCAAUCUUGUGAUGAUAUUUACUCCCAACAGCUGGUUCCAAACAUUCUGAUUCCACUCAUUAUUGUACUUUCUACACUAGUGCUUUUUCAAUCACACCCAGACACGCUCCCUCUAAAGUUCCAUCCAGACCCCUCCUUUCUAUUCCAACAUAGUUUUAAACAUCAAUUGUCGUUCCAGAUUUCAUGAUUGAGAGUUAUCUCAUCAGAGUUCCCUAUGUUGCCUUUGCAAACUAAGGGAUGUGAUGUUGAGUUUGUGAUUAAAUCAUCAACACAGUCAACUAGACCUCACUCGGUCAUUACAUGUUAGUGUUUGGAUUAGCUGUUUUAUUACUCAAAUAAACAAUCUCAACACAGUCAAGUAGACAUCCAUCGAUCAUUACUUGUUAGUGUUUGAAUGUUUGGAUUAGCAAUUUUAUUACUCAAAUAAAGAAUCUCAACACAGUCAACUAGACCUCACUCGGUCAUUACAUGUUAGCGUUUGGAUUAGUAGUUUUAUUGCUAAAAUAAAGAAUCUCGAAUUCCAUAUCAUUCUCAUUUGCAUGCCCUCUAUUCGACUCACAAUCCCAAGGCCACCCUGACCAUCUCAUCAAACACAGACUUGCUUGACUCUAUUUGUAAAGGUUGUUGGAUUACACUUGCCAUGGAAUAAAAUUAAACAGAGAACUGAAUUCAACUCAAAGAAACUCAAAUACAUUUCAAAAUAAAAAUUCACUCAAGCAAGCAAUGUACAAUAUUAAAUUACACUUGGAAGUAGUUUUUAAAAGAUACUACUACAUUACUCAGCAAACCCAGUUUAGCUGAGGGAAGAAAUGGAAAGGAACAAGCAAAUAAAAGAAAGGCCAAUAUUCAUCAGGCCAAUACCAAGCAAUGUUAUUAAGAAAAAGCAUAUCAGUGACAUGAAAGUGGAUUUUUUUUCUGCCCUUGAAAAAAUUGAUGGGCUAAAGCAAGCAUUUACGAAGAUGGAAUAGAACAAGGAACGUCGUCUGGAAGGCUACUGCCGCCAGCCUUAUUGCCGGCUCUUGGGCUGCUUCCAGCACUGCUAUUUGAGACAGAGACAAAGGUUGUCUUUUGCAAGACCCCUGUUGGGGAUGAUCCCAACUGAGAGUGGCCAUCCCACACUUCACUAUUCCUGAGAUUAAGCAUCAGCGAGCUCCUGCUGGCUUCCACUGAGUUGGAGGUGCUAUUAAGCGCCUCUCCUAGAGGACCUCCCAUUGAAUUUUCCCAAGUAACCGGAUUCCAGCUUGUUUGCUUCUCAGAUGGGUCAUUUCUCAAAGCUAAACUCAUAUUGACAUUGUCAAGUUCACAAGGUAAGCUUAGAGGCGCAAGGGAGAAUUUCUCACGUGGAGAAUUUGAGCACGACGAGAAGGUAGAGGAAUUCUUAGGAAUCGACAUUGAGAGCUGAGUCCAGUCUGACUUAAAUUCAUCAGGCCAAACGACAUUGAGAUGAUCAGACGGAUUCUUAGGCCAGUCAUCGAUGAAACGAUGAAGAGGUUGUUGGUUUUGUGUUUCUUGUUCACUGAAACUCAGGAUUGCAUCACGAUUUCUAGGAUCAUUGUAGGAAUCCUUAUCUGAAGAAUAGAGAAGAGAGGUUGACGAGACAAGGCCAAACUCUUGCAGAGAAGACUCUUCUGUCCGGACAUGAUGUUGUCGGAUGGAUGGUACAGUAUCCUUCAACUUCAAAUCCACGGUGGGAGAUAUUAUGGACUGACCUUGCGUAUCUUGAACUCUGUCACGUGAUAUAAUCUACUUUUAGAUUUAUAAGCACGACAUAUAUAUGCAUGUAUAUAGACAUAUAUCCAAAAUGAGAGCAUUUACUUGACGUGGGAAAAGGAGGAAAAGGCAAAUGGAGAGUGUAGGGACCCGAAAGAUAUAUGUGAAAAUAAUGGAAAAUACUCAUGUUUCCUACAGUAAGGCCAAAAAAAUUGUAACAGAACCAAUAAUGAAAGCCUCAUAGAGAAGGAAUCUCAAAGUUUAAUACUCAAGACUGGUCACUUUCACCAAAAAAAGAAAGAUGAUAUAAGGGGUCUACUCCACCAUCCAAGAUUUAAAAUUGGGGUCUACUUGUAGUAAAAAGAAGAAUGCAGAUAAUUUACACACUGUCAUCUUAAUGCUAGAAUUUUCAUAUAAAAAGAUAUUGACAAUUGAUGAGUAGAAAACAAGCAGGGUACCUAUAUACAAGUAAAAUGAACCAAUCAAUUUGAUAAUCACCUGUUAAGGGCAUUAGCAUAAGCAUUUGCAGCAGUGGACUGCAAAAUUUUGGAUUGUUGUUGCGGCAAACUCAGGCUUUUAGAUGUGCCAGGGCCUGACAUUACGGUUUCUGAUGGGGUUGAAUCGACCGCCACUUCUGUUAUAUGAGUGGUUCCAGGAACAACUUGGCCUUUUCGGCUUUCCACAGGCUUUCUUGAACGAUGACGGCCUCUAUUUAUAUGCCGCUCACAGUACUUCUGAUCUGGAACAGCUUCUCUUGCACACCGCCAUUUCUUUCCAUCUGUUCGACGACAUCUACCAGGCUCAGGAUCAUUGCUGCCAGAUAAACCUAGAUGGAAAGUUCCCCAUCCGACUGCAUGUCCAAAAUUUGUAAAGACGGGACAGAGAUAUAUUAGGGAUUAACAUUACUACCGUAUCAAAGAAGUUCAGGGAAUAAAUGAAUAAAUCAGUAUCAAGCUUAAUACUGAUUUCCAAUUCAUUAAUAUAUUAAGUUGAUUUCCAUAUGUCGUGAACACUAGGCACUUAAGAGAAUCUAUCAUAUGCUUGCAAGCUCAUAACUCUUGGAGAUAAGUUAACCAGAUUAUAGAAAGGUCGAGGCGUGGUAAGUGAACUAUAUUUAUAUAACAAAUGCUAGAGAAGUCCUGUAAGUGCACAGUAGAGAUACCAUCACCAAAUUAAGAACACGUAAAUGCUCCGCUGUCUAAACACUAAAUGACAUAUUAACACAUAUAAAAAAAAAAAAAAGCACAGUCAUUUAUUAGCUGCCGAAGUGCCUAUAUACAAGGAAGUAAGGAGUUUUUUCUUUAAUAGAAGAGAUGUUCAACUAAAAAAUAUUCUUGGUAUCUGUGCUUACAUGAUUUAGGAGCAUAUGAUCCCGUAAAAGAACCAGCAUAGAGAAAUGGGUUGAGAGAUUUCCGAAUUUGAAAUAGCAAAUGUGACGGAACAGGCACGUUUGCUACGAUGUAUUUGUAUAUUAAAGCCUGGAGUUCAAGAUCUAGCCACUGAGAUGGGGUAAAUGGCUCUCUGCACCUAGUAAAAGGACUAUCCAUUCCACCAGUGGACCCUCCACAACCAUACCCUGGAAGAAAUUAGUAGACAAGUUCAAGAUCACAUUCGAAAAGAUAAGAAAGAAACUCUAAGCAAGGCAUAUGAUACUCCUCAUAUAACAUCCCCUCUCUGUCCUUGUAUGGAAACAUGACUCUGGCUUAUUUCAAUUUCGUGAUUGACACAAAUUUCCAAUCUGGACCAAAGAUUUGAACCAUAAACACGAAUAAGGUCCCAAAACUCACAAGAACAAGAAGUGUUUAAGGAGCAGCAACCGAGAGCUAUUAAGCCUAUGAUGUACUAAUAAAAUCAACUUUGUGACAUAAAGAUCAGAAAUAAAACAGAAGACAAAAACAAUAGUACCAGAUUAAAACAGCAAUAUAUCACAAAUCAAUAGUCCCCUCCCCUUCCUAGUCCUAGUCAAAUUUACAAUAUCAAGCCUUUCAUUCAUAAUCCAUCAUUAUAGUCACUUGGGUCAAAUCAAGAACCAAAAAGAUCCACUCUUUGCAAACAACAAGACACAAACACAUGAACAUAGCAACCAAUACAAGAAAAUAAACCCACACACACACACACACACACACACACAUGUGUGUACCUUGUCUUGAAAAAUCUUGAUAAGCAGCAGCAUUUGAAGCUGGGACUGGGCUAGUGAAAGAGAUGCUAAAUGAAGCUGGGGAGGAGUCAUUAGCAAGCAAAGAAUGAGUAGAUCUCUGCAACACAGAUCGAGAAGAUGAGGCAUUAUCAUCUCCAAAGCCAUUGAAGCUCAUAAGCCCAAGAUCCAUUAGUUAUAUCUACACACCAAGUGGUUUUUACACAGCAUUAGCUCAUACACAACAUUCUUACAAGAGUGAUCUGUAUUUUUUUGUUGUCUGAAAUAAAAGUGUGUGUGUUUUUGUUUGAAGUGAAAGGAACUAAAGAGGGGUGUUGAAGUUUGGGAGAAGUUGAAGAUGGUUUAUAAAGCAUCGAGGUUUGUGUAAGAAAAUGUAAAAAAUGUGGACAUGUUUUAAUAUAAUUGUAGAGAGAGAAGAAGAGGUGUGCGUGUGACGGUGUGAGAGAUGGAGACCGGAUGCGAGGGGCAUACAUAAAUCUAAACUUAAGAAGGUCAUCGGUUAUAAUUGUUGGUUAAAUUAAACCUGCAAAAUAUUAUGUAAAAUUUGUUGAAUUUUUAAGAUAUUUUGCUUCAAUGGUAUUGGUUAUUUUAAUUGAUUAUAAUUUAAAAAUAAUACUCCUUCCGUUUCAAAUUAGAUGUCCAAUUUUAAAAAAUCACACAGUUUAAGAAAAGUGAAUAUCUACAAAUUAAUUGCAUUAAAUGAGAAUAAUAUGUGAAGUAAAAUUGAUAUAGAAAAUAUAAAUGAGAGAUAUGUGGAGUAGAAUUGACUUUGGAAAUAUAAUUUUGCAUUGAAAGUUGAUAUGGACAAGUAAUUUGAAACAAAUUUUUUUUGUAAAAGUGGACAUGUAAAUUGAAACGGAGGGAGUAUGUUAUUAAUAUUUAAAUUGUUAUAAAUAGAAUAUAUUAGUUUAAUAUGAUAAUAAAUAAUUUGUAAUCAGAGAGAAGUAGGAAAAUAAAUUGUUGGAGAUUACAUGAAAUUCACUACAUAUCUGUAGUGUUUCGACAAAUAUAGUCAUCCAUAAAAGAUGGUUAUAAUCAUAGACAAUAGAUGACUGUGGUUGAAGUGAUAUUUUUUCACGCGAUUGACUAUAUUUUUUAAUUUUAAUAUGCGAACUAGACUUUUAGUUAAAAAUUUCUUAUGAUUGGAAAUGUUCUUAACCCGACCAAUUUGGAAUUAUAAAAGGGUGGGUGCUCUUUUUACAUUUGUAAAGAAAAGAUCAAAUUAACAUUGUAUCUCAAUAAAAUAUUUUUUCUAAUUUAUAAACAAUAAGUACUUUAACUAAGACAGACAGACCUCCGACAAAAAAAGACCUAAGACAAACCACUUAUAAAAACAAUAUUUCUUAUAAUCAAAUUACUAAGCAAUAAAUUGUCUAAUCUUGAGGAUUUUAUAAUUCCUGUCUUUAUUCACCGUUUGCCUUUUUUUUUUUUCUUCUGUACAGACUAAUAAUGUAUUUAUUUCAAGAUGUUCUUCUAUUUAGCAUCACUCGUAGAAUCAAACUAUUUUUGUUAAGGAGCACGGUUGGAUAGCUCAGUGGUAAAGAGUUUAUCCUCUGUCGUCCCAGGUCCUGGGUUCGACCCUGGCUCACCCCGAGAGUUUCGUAGAACAGAUACUCAUUUGUAAGGCUAUAAGCCAAAUUUGUCCAAAAAAAAAAAAAAAACUAUUUUUCUUAAGCAACUUACACGUCCUGUAACUCUGUAAGACAGUGGCGGAACUAGGACGAAAAGUUAGGGGGCUGAAAUAUUUCGGCUUCCAUACUUGCAUAAAUAGCUUUCUCAAUACAUAUCAUCAUACUAUCAUUCGGUCAUGCAUCUUUCAUCUUAUUACGCAUCUUAUUACGCUGAUAAGUCUUGAUUGUUUAAUAACAGAAAAAACUCUCUCAACAGUAGCGAUUACAACGGGUAAAACCAGAGCUAACUCAACCAGAAGAUAAACCAAAGAAUAAGCCGUGUGUUUGUGUGUCUUAACCAUCAUGACAGAAAGAUUUCCUAUACUUUGAAGUCCAAAUUUAUCUUUAUCCGCUCUCACAUCAUAUAUAAAAUUGUCUAACUGAUUUGACAACAACUCCAAGUCCAGUAAAGAAAAAUCUUUUGGAUAAAAUUGUGCAAAGCAGACCGGAUUAAUAUUUAUAAUAUUCUGAGUUCAAUGUUGUAAAGCUUAUGAUAAAUCAUUAGUGCCUUCUCUUUUCCUUUUUUGCAAUAAGUCCCUCUCUAUGAUAUUUAUAAUUCAGCGAGGGCUAAAAAAAAUUAUACUGAUAUCAUUCGAGGUUAGGAGGGGCUCUAGCAUCCCCUAGCCCCCCUCUGGUUCCGCCACUGGUGUAAGAUAUAUUUAUCUGACCUUAAUACAUUCAAACACUAGCACAUUUUAUGAUGCACCUGUAACAUAUCCUAUUAAGAUAUUUUUUUCUUUUUUUGAUUCAAAGAAUAAGUAUUUUCAGAUUAUCUCGUCGAACGAUUUGACAAACGUUUUCAUGAAUACAUGAAUUUAAAAAUCAUGAAUGGGAAAGCAUCAAGUACACAUUACUCUUAUAACAUUUCUCUUUAGUCUCCAACUUCAAAUGGCAGAAGUAGUAAUGGUGAACGUCAACCCAAGGUGGACCAUGCCCAGGAGGGGUUUUGUAAAGAUUAAUGUUCAUGGUGCUCGUUUGCAAACCCUCUCCCUAAUGGCAAUGUUACCGGCAUUGGAGUGGUUGUUCGCAAUGGUAGGGGAAGGAUACUUUGCAUGCUUUCUGGCUCGCUUGAGAUUCAAAAUCCCAGAGUUAACGAGUUCCAGGCACUGCUAGAAGGGUGCAAAUGUGCUUUUGUUGAGGAUUGGAAGUAUAUUGUUCUCGAGUCUGAUCACCAAGAUGCUACCUGGGAAUGGAAUAACUCGACUAUUGAAGGUGCGCUCCCAGAACAUGCUGAGCUUGUGCAGCAACUGAAUCAGAGGAGGGCUGAUAGGAAUUUUCACAUGGAGGUGAGGCUUUGCGAGCAAAAUGCUAAUGCUCUCGCAGCAUACCUGGCUGAUUAUGGUGCUCGCAAUUUCAAAGUCAUGGUGAUCAUGGCGCAGCCUUUUGGAAGGAUUUUCGAACUAUGGAACCAGGACAUGGGAUUAGGUUCUGCUGAUCAGAGAUUUGUGGCAGUGCAUGAGGCUGAGUUGGGUCCAGCAGUGGAUAACGGAGAAGAUGUUCAGGAUCCAGAGGUGGAAGAUGUCCAGGCCGUGCAAGAGAUGAAUGUGAUGAAUGAGGCUGGUGGAAUGGUCGAAGUCAUUGAGCUGGAUGACUGAUUAUUUCUUCCUGCAUGUCCAGUUGCAGAAGCUUUCAGGAGUAUAGUAUUGGUUCUAUAUAAUAUUUGGUCUAGUCAUCUUAUCUAGUCUUUUGAAGUUCUAUGUAGUAGUAUCUAAGUUUUAAAAUCUUUUGGUUAGGUUUCAAUUCAGGUUGGUCUUUAGUAGAGCCUUGUUCCCUAAUUUUCCCCAUGGAAGUGUAAUGGUUAUCUAUUAAUGAAUGUUUUGCUUUCAAAAAAAAAAAAGUUAUCUUUUAGCAAAAGAGCUUAAGAAGAGGGGUCAAUCUGCAAAAAAUGCAGGUAAAAUCUAUUUAAUAUAAAAGAAAAAAAGUCACCAAAUAUUUUCCACUAAAAGGGAAUAGCAUUAGUCAUGAAAACACGUGGAACAGUUUGGAUGAACACGAAGCUAAAACCUUAAUGUUGUGUUUGGUUGGGGAGAAUGGAAUGGAAUGAAAUGAAAUGAGUAAAAAAUACUUGAAACUAAUAGAGAUAGGAAGAAUGUUUUGAAAAAAUUUGAAGGAGUGCAAAAUUGCUAUGAUGAGAUUUGAGAAGAAAUUGAGGAUGAGAGAGAAUGGAGCAUUCCAUCUCAAAUGGAAAGGGUGAUAUCUAGCAUGUGGUGUAAGGAAUGGAAUGGAGGAAGUAAUGAAAUUUCUUAAAAAUCAUCCACAAGAUAGUUCAUUUUUCAUUCCAUUCCUUCCGGAAUCAUUCACCCCAACCAAACACAACAUAAAGGUUUUAUACGAGGGGCAUAAGAAAGAGCCACGCGGUGAACAUGCAAAGGGAGGGAACAAAAUAAAGGAAGUUUGUUGAAGCAGCAAUAAUGAGUUUGAGGUUUUCAGCAACAGAUAUAUUUAGCUUGCUCAAGCUGACAUGUCACAUGAGUACAUGAUAAAUAGUACUCCCUCCGUCCCACAAUACAUGUCUUUUUUGAAAAAAUUACGCAUAUUAAGAAAGCAUUGAUUAGAUAAAAUAUUCUCACCUCUACCCCUAAUAAAUGCAUGAAUGUAGACUCUUAUUCAACCUACAUUAAUUGUUAUACAACUUUCAAGAAGGGUAAUUUUGAAAUAUUUGCAAUAUAUUUGCAUUGGAAACUAAAAGUAGACAUGUAUUGUGAGACAAAUUUUUUUUCCAAAAGAGACAUGUAUUGUGGGACGGAGGGAGUACUCGAUAAGUUUGUUGGAUGAAAUUAAUUUAUUUUUGUCUAAGAGAUUCAUCAUUUAUAUGUUGGUUGCGGUGUCUGAAAAUUAAUUACACCACAUUAAUAAUUCACUGCUUUUUUUUUUUUUCUGGUAAUUUUGUGUUUGACAGUUGAUUCCAUUUAUAAACGAUACGAGGCUUGAGGGUAUGUUUUAAAGUUAUUGCAUUUAGUGGCGAAAUAAGGACAAAAGUUAAGGAGGCUGCAUUCCUAACCGAGUGUAUUUUAAUUCCGAUGGAUGUUAAUAAAUUUUUAUUUGUCAGGUCCAAAUUUCAUAUUAUUGCAGAUUCCCACUUCCUUUACAACAGUUUCUUUGAAACAUGAUUUAUACUAUUGUAGAAUUUCAUAAAUAAUAAAAGAAGCUUCAUAUUCUAAAUAUUUAUUUUGUUAUAAGGAGCAUUUGAUCCGAAAUCGAACUUGUGGGCAAUGCAUCAAAACCGUACAGCUCAUGUUGAUUCCAAUUUCCAAAGGCCUUGACCGAAAUGUAGCCAAGGGCCUCUCAAGUCAGAACUGAUUAGGAGUUGGUGGAGGAGGUAUUGGUCUGUUUGGACUGGUCUAGUGGUUCUGGACUGACCAUCUUGAGCUGAACUGGGCCUGGUAUGCUUAGGUUGUUCAAAGUGGACUCUGACACUUUGUUGAUUCUGGAGCUGUCAUAUUGGUACCUCAUUUCGACAUUUUCAUUUUUUGCUUACAAUUUAGUUCUAGAGCAUUUUGAAGGUUGACUUUUUAAGUAAAAUAAUUUACCAAAUAUAUAGAGGAUAAAAAGUUAUUUUUUAUAAUGAUAUAAUGAUAGUAUUUAAUUAACAAAGUUAAAGGAUGAUAUAAAGGAUAAAAGAGUGGAAUAUGUGAUGUCUUAGUUACGACUAUAUAAAAGGCGAUGGGGGAAAUAUGUGAAACAAUACUUUUGAAAAAGAUUUAGUUUGAUUAUUACCGAUUAAUAGGAUUGAAUUAAAUAAUAAGAGUAUAAUAAGUUUAUAUACAUAUUUGAAAAUGGGUACAGAAAGUUGGGAAGUGUCCCCUUUGCGCUGUGGAUGCUCUAAAGCCCAUAAAAGUGUGUUUGGGCCUCCAAUUACAAUUCAAUACCUAAUGUUUGAACAAUAACAAUAACAAUAAUCAUUUGAUCUUUUCAGGUUUCAUAUUGGGCAAUUUUACAUGCAUUAUUUGUGAUAAAGGGUUUUUAUAUAUAUCAUAUAUUUUGAAUUAAGAAAAAGGUUUUUGCGUCCAUUCUUAAGACAUUAUAUAAUGUCAUGUCCAUGAACAUUCAUGUAGGGCUAUCUAUAACAGUCCUCAGCUUCUAAGAUCAUACUAUUUCAUUAUACAGGCACCAGUCUUAAAUUCCGUGAUUAAUGGGAUUCAUAAAAAAGUUUGCUCAAGCCUGAAAAGACAGAAAAAAUAUGCAGACCUCAAUUUAAUAAGUGGCUAUUGAGUAGUGAGUAAAAGGCAAACAAAACCAGAGAAAAAGAUUUACUAGUAUCUUAAGAGGGUCCUUAAAUGUUUUCUUUGACAAAUACCUACCAGCAUAUUAGUUGUUAACUUGUUAUCAUCUCCACCUGAUCUCCAUCCUUUCUGGCAACUUCUGUUGAGCUUUUAUCCUGUAGAAAAAGUUGUUAGAUGUGUCUCAGCUACAAUUGCAAGUCCAUGUCCAUCUGUAAAUGGUCUGUGCAUUAUUUGGUUCAAAUUCAACAUGAGUCCUAUUCAUGUCACCUGUUGACACUAACAUGUCUUGUGGAUCUGAUUUAUCAGCCAAUGCUGAUUGCCAUUUUCCACUACACCACUGCUCUCAUUUGCUCACACUGUUAGCCCCCAGCAUCAUUAGCCACCCAUUUUAGAAAUCUUUUCUCCUUUUUGCCGAUUUUUUUAUUAAUUUAUCUUGGAACUCUUUUUUCUCAAUAACAAGAGGUCGAGAUUUAGGAAGGACAAAAAACAACUAUUAUAUAUUUUGACAAGGUAGAGAAUAAUUGCAAUAUGUAGCCAUGAUUUUAAAAACCACUGAUUCAGUCGAUUAAUCCCUUAUUAAUUUCCUUCAAAAUACCUUCCCUGAUUCGAUUUUUAAAAUUCGAUUAAUCAUUAUAGAUUCUUCUUGAAUGAUAUGUUAUAUGGUAAAUUAGAUUAAUAUAUUAAAUAUUAUAAUAUACCUGAUUUUUAAUUUAAUUAAUCCUUAAUCAUAUUUACCGAUUCUCGUUUUUUACAAUCAGGUACUCAAUAAAAUUCAACUUGUUAAAACACGUCAUAAUCAAUGUCACACGCACAAAUAUCAGAAUACAGCCAGAUGGACAUAAUAAGAGGGGAGAAAAAACAGAGGGGGGUUGAGAAGGAUAUGAGAAAUUGAACAAUGUCGAGCAUAUACCCACAUAUGUGAUGAAGUGACAAAGUAGUGUAAUUGACUAAUAAAAGCAAGUAGCCAGAUUGGAUACUUUUGUUGUCCGUCCAGGGACCAGCCAGCUCUUGAGGUGGUCCAUUUUUCAUCCACAGCCUCACCAUGCACUCAUUGCCCCUUCACCACCAUCAAACUGGAUCUCUAUGACCAUCCACGCACACACGCAGUAGCACAUGUAUGUGUUUCUCGGAUUUGAUUCUACUUCCUAGCUGUUCAAGGGACUUGCAUUGCGUGCACCGAACGAAUGGUCAUUUUGAGGCUCAGAUUGUUCCGAAAACACGUCCUGUGUGAAAAUUUUUCUUUGCACGGCUAAAUUAUGAGGUUGAGGACUGAUUGAAAUUGUAAAUGAUUUCCGGCAUGAAUCGAUGCCUAUUUCAAUUUAUAAGCACUAAACACUAGAGUUCGACUCUAACUCAAUCCGAGACAUAUACUCAUUUGUAAGGCACAUAAGCCUAAAUUAUACUAAUGAUAUCAAAUCUCUGGUAUGAAUCGAAUUUCUUUUCUUUCUUUUUUCUCCUAUUUUCCCCCUAAUUUUUGCAUGGGAACAUUAUAUAUUGAGUUGAGGUGGCAUACUGGCAUAUAAAAUUAAAGUGCUGUUGGAAAAAAAAGGGUGAACGGAAUAAUGUCAAGUUCAAAAUGACUGUAUUUGACAAAGCAAAGAGAAAAACGUAAAAUGAUGAAAGGCCAGCUUUGCAAUUCAGCCUCAUUAUUUGGUCAAACUCCACUCACAUUGCGUUCCAUAAUUGCCAAACUUAUCUUCAAAAUUUCAUGCUUAAAAAAUUAAAAAGAAUAUCAGACUUAAAUUGUGCUCCUCUACUUUAUUAUAUAUAAUGAUUAAUUUAUUUAUAUAUUUUUCCAGAACUUGUGAUCGCAUUAAUAAAAGUAAAUAAAUAUUUAAAAAAUUCAACCAAUAAAUAAAAAUAUAUAUAGAAAAAUUUAAAAACAACAUUUCUAACUAUAUAAUAAAUUUCUUAAUGUGUGUGGUCAAAUGUCACAUAUUGUUUUUUCUCUCAAAAAUUCGACUCAUAAUUAUGUAUAUCAGUAUAUGUCGUGUCAAACGUUUAAGUUAAUUUUGAAAGUUCAUGCUUCAUCGAUUUUAAAACUACCGUAUCUUUCGUUCUUGUAUAUCGAUUUCUGAUCAGUUAAAUUGAUUAUUUUUAAUUUAAAAAUAUAUUAUAUAAUUGACAAAAAUAAUGAAAAUUUAUUAUUGAGAAAUAUAUUUAAUUUAUUUUAAUACGCAAUUUUAGAUUUUAAAAAUAAUUAAUAAAUAAUUUAAAAAAAUUAGUAAUAAAAUAAUCUAUUUAAAUUCUGAAAAUCAAAAUGAACAUAUAGAGAUGGAUAACAAAAAAAUCUCCAACCGACUGAAAUCGAGCGAGACCGGGAAAAAGGCGAUGCAGCAUCCACCGCUCUCGUGCAAGUCUAUCUAUCUACUCAUACCGUUAUAAUUUAUUGAUUUUGCGUAGGAAGCUAUGCAAUAUUGCGUCGCAGCCCUAGAAUAUGCUGCCUGACCCUGACAAUGUUUUCGACCUCGAGCCCAUCAACAAAUUAUAGGUGUACUCCACACUCCUCUCUUGUGCGCAUAUUUGUUGAUUCUUUUUUCUUAAAUAUAAUAUUAUAAUUUAUUAAAAAAAUUCUGAAUAAAUUUAUUAAAAAUAAAUGAGACAAAGAGAAAAUUAAUUUUUGAAAUAAUGCAUUUAAUCAGUGAUUGACCGCAUAUUCAUUGUAUAUACUACACAAUAUUGCUUGAUGUUGUUAAUAUCUUCACACCAUCGUCAAAGAAGAUGCCUCUCUCUGGCCAAAGUCCAAACAAGCUUAUUUGGUCUUUCACUCCGUGAACUUUACACUUAUAUGUGUAAUGCAAAUUCUAAUGCAACGAAUCAUGUAACUAAAUAUGAUUUCAAAAUAUUAAUAUUUUAAAACUGUAUUUAUGAUAGAUUUUAGUUGAUAAUUUGCAAAUAUGACUACAUCAGUUAUAAAUCGUAUUUUUAAAAAUAUUUUUCAAAAUUGAUAUUUUUGAAAAUAUUUUCUUCUCUAAAAUUCUUUUUGAACUUUUUUGUAACUUGGGUACAUCCGGAAAAAAUCCUAAAAUUUAUAUAUGUAUAAAUAAAGAGAUUGAGAGUGUUCUUAGACAACCGCCCUAGAAUAAAAGACCUCCAAUAAUAGAUUUAAAAUAUUUUUGUAAAUGCGCAGGCUGGAUCCUAUAUACGAAAUUACCAUCAAUAUUUAACAUGAUCGCUAAAUACAACUCGACCUCAGAGUCUUGGACCCGAUUUUCUCAUAAAUAAAAUAAAUCUAUACAUUUAAACGGAAAGAGAAGUGGGAAAUACGUGUACUCGCUAGCCACUAUCCCGCAGCCGGGUGCGCGCUUCCCCUAGGCUACCACCCCUCUACAUUGCUGUAUAAAUAAAUAAAUUAAUAAAUAAAUAAAUAAAAUAUUCACUCGUCUAGUGAACAUAUAUGUAGGCAGAAAAGACGAUAUAAUAACUCAUACGUCAAAUUUUCAACACUGCAAAUAUUUAUUUACGAAAAAAUAAUCACAGAUUCUUUGUCCAUAUACCAAAAAACAAAAUAGUUUUAUAAAAAUUAAAUAAUUAUGACAAAAAAUAAUAAUUAAAUAAUAAAUAUAUAUAUUACAGUUUCAGUUGAAACCCAGCACUGCUUUCAUUUUCACACCAAACCCACCCUUUUUAUUAUUCCCCUUCUUUCCCCGUCCUACUCCAUUCUCCUCUUCUUCUUCCCCAAAAUAUUGAAAACUCACUUUCUACUCAACCCCCUCCUUUUUAUUACACGAACUCUUCAUCUUCAGACAACCUUUUCAAGAACUCGAAACAGAGGACAAGGGGUGUUUAAGGAAACCAUAAUGGGCAAAUGGAGAGUGGUCUUAAUACUCUCCACACUACAACUCCUAACUCUUCUUACACCAACAAAACCAGAUCCGAAAGACGAAUCAUGUCUUACCCACUUAAGCCAAUCACUUGAAGACCCAAACAAGAACCUCCAAAACUGGACCAAAGCCACUUUCUCAAACCCAUGUACUGGCUUCACCUCGUACCUCCAAGGCGCCACUUGUAAUAACGGCCGUAUCUACAAACUCUCUCUCUCGAAUCUCUCUCUCAAAGGCUCCAUCUCUCCUUAUAUAGCUAACUGCACUAAUCUCCAAGCUCUUGACUUAUCGUCAAACGCUCUAUCCGGUUCAAUCCCGACCGAUCUUCAGUUCCUCGUGAACCUAGCGGUUCUUAACCUCUCGGCGAACCAUCUCUCCGGUUCGAUACCUCCGCAGAUUGCCAUGUGCGCGUACCUAAACGUUAUAGAUCUUCAUGACAACGUGUUAACCGGUCCGGUUCCGCAGCAGCUCGGUCUUUUAGUCCGGCUCUCGGUUCUCGAUGUUUCGAAUAACAAGCUCUCCGGUCCAAUUCCGGGUAAUCUCGGGAACCGGACCGGUUUGCCGAGAUUCAACGCGUCGUCGUAUGAGGGCAAUAAAGAUCUGUAUGGGUACCCUUUGCCACCUAUGAAGAAUAAAGGGCUUUCGAUUCUAGCCAUUGUAGGGAUUGGGCUUGGAAGUGGGCUUUUGAGUUUGGUCCUUAGCUUCACAGCUGUGUGUAUUUGGUUGAGAGUCACUGAUCGCAAAACGGCGUCGGCUGAACAAGAAGGCAAAAUCACACAGCUCAUGCCUGAUUAUUAAAUUCAAUUAAUCACUCAGGUCUGUUGGUUAUUAUUUCGAUUUUACAUAUAUAUAAUUAAAUAUUACAAUGUUACAGCACUGAGUAGUGGGCUAGUUUUUUUUAUUUUAAUGUUGUUAGUGAUGAUGUUGAUGGGGGUUCAUGUUUGUUGAUCAGUUGUAUUGUCUUUUUACUGAUCCUGGGUAUUUUCUCGUUGUUUAACUACUUUUUUUUUUAACCUUUUAGUUUGUUGUGUUGUAAUGUCCAUAUUUUUUGGAAACAAUUAACAAUGUGUAUAUAUGAAGAACUUGUGGGUGGUAUAGAUACAUAUCUAAUCCAUUUGUCAGUUCUGAAUUUACAUUUUUACUGCAUUGUACAUUGUAUAAAUUGUGUCGGAGUAGAUUUCUGAUAGACGAUUGUUACAACAUACUUACUUCAUUAGUCAUGCUUUAUUACCAUAAAUAAAUUGUAAGUUGCAAUGAAUUAUUUUAAUCUGUAAGACUAGAGUAGAUGUUUCAUUAGUCAUACUUUAUUACCAUAGAUAAAUUGUAAGUUGCAACGAAUUAUUUUAAUCUAUAAGACUAGAGUAGAUAUCCGACAAAUGAUUGUUACAACAUACUUGCGUCAUUGGUCAUUAUGAGAGAUAAAUGAUAAGUUGCAUCAAAUUGUUUAAUUUGUAAGACUGGAUAGGCCCAUGACUGGUAUCAAAUUUAUGUGUUAUUCCUUUAGGAAGAUAAGAGUAGGGGGGCUUGAUAAAUUAUACCGCAACAAUUAUCCAUUCAAUACGUAGACAUGGUUAUGAGUACUAGAAUCUUGGUAAAUUAUACUGCAACAAUCAUUGAGUGGGUUAAAUUAUACUGCAACAAUCAUCCAAUACGUUAUACUUAGACAUGGUCAUGGGUACUAGAAUCUUGGUAAAUUAUACUGCAACUAUCAUGGAGCGGGGUAAAUUAUACCACAGCAAUCCUUAUUCCUCGACCCUAUACAUUUACACUGGUAUGGGUUUAUAGUAAAAUAGUAAAUGCAUGUUGGGUGGCAGAAUGUACUAAUCUGCGGUAUUUUGUCUGGUGGUAGGCUAAAUUACAUACAACUCACUGCAAGUCUGGGACAGUGGUCUCGGUUAUGAAAGAUCCACAUGCCUCAAUUAUAUAAACAAGUUCUAGUAAAAAGUCAUAAAUUACUGGUAGGCUACAGGAGUGGAGGACUUGAUGUAUAUAGUUUAGUUGUAGCAGUAGCCAUUAGUGUUGUAUGAGGAACUGACCAAUUCUUUCUUCCAAGUUCCAACUACUCUAUCUUAUCCUAAAUGCAACUGUUAAUACAUUUAUCUGUUCAAUGCUUCUCAUUAAAUAAUUUUUCCAUUGGAUGAUAUGAUGCUACUGCCUCACAAUUGUCUGCUCUUUUAGUAAUGUGAUGCUUGCUCAUCUACGAUUCCAGAACAGGGACUGGGGACCGGGCAGGGGUGUCUUCUGCUGCUACUCAAUUGAACCGGGUAAAAUGUAUUUAUAAUAACUACCGUUAUUCGAAGUGCUUACAAUACCUUACACGGUUGAUCAAUGCAUUUGUAUAUGGGUACAGAGAACCGCGAGGAUCACCUGAAAACUUGGUUUGGUUUUCAUAAAUCUACGAUUCUCGCGGUUUUCAUAUUCUCCGGUGAGGGGUACCCUACAUGUUUAGCUUACAUUUGCAAGGAUGCAACUAUACAAUUUUUGAAGAUCACGUUUGCCCCUCUUUCUGUUUUUUGAAGAUCACUCCCACCGAAAGUUUAAAAUUAGUCAAAGUUUGGUUUUGAGUCAAAUCAUCAACGGCACCAUCAAGAAUGGCAUGUACACACAUAAACAUACAUAUGGAGUAUCAUGCAUACCCUACAUGUACAGGUAACAAUUGAUGAAUGCAAAUCAUCACGCAAAGGGAACACUUUGUGCCUCGUAUGAGUGCUUUCGUUUACAAUUUGUGUGUACAGUCCUUUGUGGUAAAUUUUUGGCUUGGGAAAAAUAAAGGAGUGGUUGUAUGUAAUUUAGGACCAGGAGACCAUCAGAAAUGCCAGGACCAUGCUUCCUGGCUCCCUGUUUGCCUUUUACUUUUAUCACCCCACCUUGCUUUUUACUCAAAUUUACUUACCAGAUCUAUAAAUUUCGGAUCAUGUUUGAAAGUCCGAUAAAAUUGUUUUCUAAUAAAUAUUUUUUAUUUAUAAGUCAAUUAUGAGAACUGAUAAUAAUAAGCAUGGUUGAAAUCGGGGAUUAGUUCAUUGACAUGCCGAUUUAGGAUUUUCCGAAACCGGAGAUUUUAAUUCGAUCGAUAAAAUAUCUUUUAAUAAUUAAUGCGGAAGUUUUCAAGAGAUUUUUAGAAUUACUGAUAGUAAGUUAUGAAAAUAUAUGUCAAACAAUAUGAAAGUUAAAAACAAAUCACAAAAUUUAAACUGUUUUACUAGCACAGGAGAGCAUUGUGUAAUCUGCCUUUGAACCAACGUCUCUCUCUAGCCACAUGGUAAGCUGCUGAAAGCUGCAGAUUGUUUGAUAUAAAAACCAAAGAUCAUAUAAUUGAACCCAGAGGAGAAUUAUAAUUUCUUUGCUCAGUAAUGAGUUAGAGUGUAAAGUAAAUUAUUAAACUCAAAUCUCAAUUAUGACAUGCCAAUGCCACAAACCUCGGACUGCAUUUUGCGUGGCCUCAAAUUUAACUCUACCAUUUCUUCAUCCAUCAAGACUAAUGCUUUUUCACAGUAAUGAUUUAUAGGUAUUUUUUAUGGUGAAUAAUAUCUACUUCUACUUAUAUAUAUAGUAGCCCAACAGGUUCGUGUCAAGCCUCCCUCCUGAGCAAAUAAAUUACCUAGCUCCGAACCUGAGCCUAACUCCGAACCUAACAUCCCUGAGCCUAACUCCGAACCUAACAUCUUCUCAUAUAUAUAAAAAAAAAGAUGUUAUUCAUGAGGCUCGAACUUGGGAUCUCUCCAAUACAAAUACAUUACUCAAACCACUUGAGCUACACAAACAAUUAGUUUAUUACUCAAAAGCAUUAAUCACAUACUUUAAAACUUUUGUAUUUAUAUUCGUCUCAAUAUCUUAUUUAUUUGAGAUGAGUUAUUAUUUCAGUUAAGUCUCAUAUAUUGUUUACAUGAUAGAUUAAUAUCUAUAAAUUAAUUAUUUACAUAAAUAAAUUUAAAAUUAAAAAAAAUAUGAAUAAUCGGGUUCGUGCCAUGAUUCGGAUUUCAAAAAAUAGAUAUAAUUCGUAUUCGAAUUCAAAUCUAACUUAAUAGUUUAAACGAGCACCGAUACAAUAUUAUAGAAAUUUUAAGUCAUGAAUGUGAGAAAUAAGUACAAAAACUGAGGUUUAAGCGAGCAUCUUUGAAAGGAAAAAUUGAUGGGCUUUCAACAUGGGCUAUGUCAUAUUAAUUUCUUUUAUUAUAAAAGGCAAUUUACAAAGAGAUUACAAUAUUUUGGAGAACACGAAAUAAGGUGACUGAAAGAAUAUUCUUAUGUAGAAUAUUUUUUUAUUUUAAACUUAUGAAUUCAGAAUUUGAUGUGUAACUAAAUCUUUUUUUAAAAAAAUUAUAGAUAUAAGGAUAGUGACAAUACAUCAAAUUUGGUGUCGGAAAAUAUAUCUAAAUGAUAUAAUUUUGAUGAUAUAUGUAUUUGAAAUACUAUAACUUGUGAUAUGAAGGUGAAUUUAAGGAAAUUUUAUAUUGUUAAUCAAAAGUCAACCACAUAAUAAUAAAACGCGUUUACGAGAACUACUAAAAAGAUUUGAGUUAUAAAUUUUACUUUGUUAAAUAAAAUAACACAGAGAAAUAAGUUAUAUAUAUUAAAGUCUUAAAACUAUAAUUUUUAAUAUGCCAUCAUCCAAUAUAUAACAUACCAGUUAAAUAAAAUGAUUCAAACUACAGUUAAAUUAAUCAUUUACAAAUUAAACUAAUAAAAUAUAAUUAAUUCUGAACCGGAUAAUCUGAUGCGAUACGGUGAAACUAAUAUCUGGUUAAACGGGACUAGAACAAGAAUAGUUUUUUCAUGAUUCAAAAUAUCGAAUAUAUAACUUGAUCUUUAACAAUUGAACAUGAUAUGCCACAUUGAUCACUCCUAAUAAAUACGAGUAUCAAAAUAUUAAAAAUGUGAGUUUGCACAAAGCUAAAAAAGUAACUACACGACUAAUUGAACUAAAUAUUUUAUGGUUUUAUGAACUUCAUGAUGCAUAACUCAUAUCUACUCUCUUUUUGCUAUUUGAAAUUCCAUAAAAUCAUUUGUUUGAGAUCUGUUUUACAAUGAUUACAAGAAAAAUCAUUAAAAGUCUUAAUAGACAAGCUCAAUAAACUAAUUAUAUUACAUUAAAAUUUUAUAACGAGAUAAUGUUAUAACAUACUGUAUCAAAGUAAUAUUCAUCAAAUAUUUUUAAAUUAACAAUAAAAAUAUAAUACAUUGAAGUACUAUAUAAUUGAUAUGAAAAAUAAAGGGAUAAGACACAUCAAAGGUGUCAGAAAUUUUUGGGGUGCAAUUAUAUGGUUAGUAGUUCAAUUGAUACUUUUAUAAUAAAAUAAGGUACGUGUCUUUUUACGUACAACACAUGUUUCAAUUUUUUUUUAUACAAAAUGUGUGCAACAUAUGCUAAAAAGAAUGUGUUGAUGAUCUCCUCCAUCAUGUAUCACUUUAAUAAUUAUGCAAACGUACGCUCAAAAAAGAAGAAAUAAAUGUAGGGCAAUGCGGACCACACAUCUUCAUUUAAUCAUGAUUUAGGAUAUCGUAAUUCACAUAUCAAAAACAGGUUUUUAUCAAAAUCAUGGUAUAUUAGUUGAAAUAAUUUAAUAAUUUCAACAAUAAAUUACAGAAUCUUUUAAUGAGGUAUAAUAUAUUUAAAAUUUAAAAUUUCAGUAUUAAUUUCGAAUAUAAUUUUGAACAUUGAUAAUAUGAUGACGGUCUCUAUAUCCUAACGAAUUUGAAUAUAGAAAUAUCAGUUCAAAUGUAGUUUUUGAUCUAUAAUUUUUUUUAAAAAUAUACUCCCUUCGUCCUAUUUUAGGUGACCUUAGUUGACUUUCACGGAGAUUAAGAAAAAAGUAGUAAAAAAGAGGAAAUUUAGUUGGAAAGAGGGUAAAGUGGAGGAAUAUAUCACAAUUUAAUAAUAGAUUUGAGAUAGUGAUGGUAAGUAGUGAGUGUAAUAGUGUUUAUUUAAUAUAAAAGAGUAUAAAAUAGAGUAGUAGUGUGUGUAAUAGUGAUAAGUAGUGUUUAAAAAUAGUAAGUAUAGUAAGUUCAUUAUUUUAGAGACGUCUCAAAAAAGAAUAAGGGUCAUAUAAAAUGGAAUGGAGGGAAUAGUACUUAUUAUUACUAUUAAUGCUGUUAGCUUGCAUAUAUUACAUUUUUCAUGUUUACAUAUUUUGUCAAAAAGUAAAACGUAAUAGUUACGCUCGACACAAUAUGAUGACACACAGAUAUUAUUUAAAACAUAAUACAAGCUCAAGGUCCGUACAAGAACAAUAUAAUGACAUAUGAAUAUUAUUUAAAAUACAGCAAAAACUAGAGCCCCGUGCCUCGCACGGGCUUUUAUGCUAGUUAAUUAAUUGAAAUGUCACUGUAAUACCAAGCAUAUCAUGUUUACCCACAAAUUUUAUUUGAAUUUCCCUUAAUUCGAUUUGAUGAUACCUGAUAUAUUCAUAGAGAAUGAUUUUAUCGGCCCACAGAUUAAACACCAUACGGCAUACAAAUGCAACAUCAGCCAAACAGAUGGUUUACAACAGAUGUCUGCACUGUGUGAUUCCCUGUACCAAAAAGCUUGAGUGUUUAGAUCAGAUGAAGCUCUUGUCAGGCAUAAUCCCUGAUCCAAACCCUGGCUGGUAUAUCAUUCCACACUUCUUCAUUAGUACCAUAGUAUAUAGCUGCUUCUUCCAAUUGACCAGCAUUUCGCAUCUAUUCUGACAAAAGCGCAUACUCUGUGGCAAGUCUCUUUGCAACAUCAAGUCUACCAUAGACUCAGGACGGAGCUAGGAUUUUAGCCUAGCGGGGGCAAAAAAAAAUUUUUGUCGACAAAACAAUUUUGUUGCCACAAGUUGGAUUCGAACUUGUGUCUUCACGGGAAGUGUCCAGCUCCACAAUCAUGGUUACAAUUAUUAAAAUUGUAGGAGAUAUAUUCAUACAUUAUGAAGGUCAGGGAGGGCAAAUACCCCCGCUGCCAUAAGUUCUGUAUCAUUUCUAACCAAAAGUUUCCGUGAACUGAAUUUUUCUACCAGAUAUUGGAUCAUUCCAUACGCUUACAUGUAACGAGUCUCUUUGCAACAUCAAGAUGACCAGCUCUACUAAGCAUGUCAGGCUUACGACAAUGCAAGAAAAAAUUAUAUGUUCGGCGCUUUGAACAACACUUAUCUGACAGGAUCACACGAUUGAAAAUGUGAUUGCAUUAUCAACUAGAAAUGCAUGGCUAUAAUAAGCAGAAAGAACAGCAGUAAACAUUCCCUUCACUAAUUUGAUCCCGGCUGAAUCCUGCCUCACUCGCGAACAGCGAGCAGCUUCUGUCCCUUUUCCUGCCGUGCAUAGUCUCAGAUCAUCGACUUUUUCCAUUGCGUCGAACACUUUCACAUACUGAUCCAGAUUUUCCACCCAAUGUAACAAGAUUUUUGCUAAAUAAUCUCAUUUUCCAAGGGUGGAGCAACUGGACUCAUGUAUAAUUCUGACAAUUUCGCAUAUACCUCCAAGCCCUGCACUGUCAAACGGUAAUCUAUUCAAUUGAACUCUGACAUCAAAAAGUUUUUGGAUAUCAGAUUCAGGCAAUACAAGCUAGUGAAUACUCUAUAGGCCUGCUUCAAGUAUAACAAACAGUCAAGUACAGUGUUUUUUACAAGUGUUUGAUAAAAAGUCACAAAGACAAUUUACAACAAGUAAAAAAAUCAAAGUACUAUAAAAUCAAGAAAAUCCAAAGUUCCCAUUUUUACAAUCUUUACCAAGAGUCGACUCACUCUACCCUUCUCAAUUGAGCCGCUUCUUCAUAGCUCAAGCUUCUUUUGAACAUCAGGUACCUUAUAUACACUUCAACACACACACACACACACAACCUAAAAGAGACAUAAUGAAUUUGCUCCGAAAGGAAAUUAAAGGUCUUGGCAAGAAAUACAAUCUAUUGAUUGCAUUCUCUAAUACAAACACAGCAUAUAGAUUGACUUGUAUUGAUUCAUUGUCGUCUAGCUUAUUUCAUGAAUCUUGUUCAAAAUUGCAUACUAAUUCUCAAAUGGGUCAGCCCCAAAACCCUCUUGAGUCCAACCCCUCUCGAACUUUUGAACCCAUAUGUCUCGAAAAGAAAUCAGGAAGCUUUGAAAAUGGUGGAAGCUAUGAUGAAUUUGCUGUUGAUGUUGAAAAGAUUUACAGAAUUUUGAGGAAGUUUCAUUCUAGGGCUCCAAAAUUGGAACUUGCAUUGAAGGAAUCUGGUGUUGUUGUCCGCUCGGGUUUAACAGAACGGGUGUUGAAUCGAUGUGGGGAUGCGGGGAACUUGGGGUAUAGCUUUUUUGUUUGGGCAUCUAAGCAGCCUGGUUAUAGGCAUAGUUAUGAGGUUUAUAAGUCAAUGAUCAAGAUUCUUGGGAAAAUGCGGCAAUUUGGAGCUGUUUGGGCUUUAAUUGAGGAAAUGAGGAGGGAAAAUCCUCAGCUUAUUACGCCAGAGGUGUUUAUUGUGUUGAUGAGGCGAUUUGCGUCAGCAAGGAUGGUUAAGAAGGCGGUUGAAGUGUUGGAUGAGAUGCCUAAGUAUGGGUGUGAACCGGAUGAGUAUGUUUUUGGUUGUCUGUUGGAUGCUUUGUCGAAGAAUGGUAGUGUAAAAGAAGCUGCUUCGUUGUUUGAGGAUAUGAGAGUACGUUUUACACCGACGAUAAAGCAUUUUACUUCAUUGUUGUAUGGUUGGUGUAAAGAAGGGAAGCUUACAGAAGCUAAGUUUGUUUUGGUGCAGAUGAAGAAAUCAGGUUUUGAGCCUGAUAUAGUUGUUUACAAUAAUUUACUCCAUGGGUAUGCCGUAGCAGGAAAAAUGGCAGAUGCAUUUGAUCUUUUGCAAGAAAUGAGGCGGAAGGGUUGUAAUCCAAAUGCAACAUCUUUCACGAUUUUGAUUCAGGCACUUUGUGCUCAGGAGAAAAUGGAGGAGGCAAUGCGAGUUUUUAUGGAUAUGCAGAAAAGUGAAUGUGAUGCCGACGUUGUGACCUACACUACUCUGAUAAGUGGGUUUUGCAAGUGGGGUAAGAUUGAAAAAGGUUAUGAGCUUUUGGACAGUAUGAUACAGUUAGGAUAUACCCCGAAUCAGACUACUUAUUUAAAUAUACUUCUGGCUCAUGAGAAAAAGGAAGAACUGGAGGAGUGUAUAGAACUUGUGAAAGAGAUGCAAAAGAUUGGCUGCAAUCCUGAUCUCAAUAUCUAUAAUACAGUAAUCCGCUUAUCGCUCAAGUUGGGGGAGGUUAAAGAAGGGGUACGAGUCUGGCAUGAAAUGGAAGCAAAUGGACUCAGUCCAGGGCUUGACUCCUAUGUAAUAAUGAUUCAUGGAUUACUUGAGCAAGAGUGCUUGGUUGAAGCUUGUGAAUACUUUAAAGAAAUGGUUGAGAAAGGCCUUCUAUCUGCUCCACAGUAUGGGGUCUUAAAAGAUCUUUUAAAUUCUUUAUUAAGAGCGGAUAAGCUUGAAUUGGGUAAAGAUGUUUGGAAUUGCAUCAUGAUGAAAGGAUGUGAGCUAAAUGUGUUUGCCUGGACUAUAUGGAUUCAAGCACUCUUUGCAAAAGGGCACGUAAAGGAGGCUUGUUCGUACUGUUUAGAGAUGAUGGAUGCUGGUCUCUUGCCUCAGCCAGAUACUUUUGCCAAGCUGAUGAAAGGUUUGAAAAAAUUGUAUAACAGGCAAAUUGCAGCUGAAAUUACAGAGAAGGUGAGAAAGAUGGCUGAAGAAAGGCAGACGACGUUCAAGAUGUAUAAGCGUCGUGGUGAAAGGGACUUGAUAGAGAAAGCAAAAGAGAAAAAAGAGGGAAGGAAGAGAAGGUCUCGUAGACACCAAUGGGGCACCAACCGAAGCAGAGGUAGUAUCUCAUAGAGAUCGUAGUGGGAAGUCAGUGAACUAUUAAGUUAAUGUCUCAAAUUGUGAUUCCUUUCCAGGGGGACUAUUUUGAAUUAUAUACCUUUCAGGCUUUACUCAAAUUUCUGGGGGACUUUGAAUGAAUAUUUACUUCUUGUCUGCAGCACCAUUAUAGUGUCUUCUAACACUUAUUCAUGAGGAUUGCUAUGAAAGAAAUGAUAUUUCAGCCUGGAGUGGAAUGUCACUACUAAUUAAUUUGUUAGAUUAUAGGGAGAGCUCCGAAUCUAGAUAGUAUUAUGUUUUACAGCUGGAUUAAGAAUUUCAUAUCAGAUCAUUGUAUAACUUGUCAAGUCUAUCCAUUUAUCAAUCAGACCAUUUGCAGAACAUGCAUGGGCUCACUUGUAUUCUUUUCAACGUUAUGACCGAAGACUUAAAUACGAAGGUGUGCUCUUACUUUUUUUUCUUUUUUCUUAUUUACACUAAUCUUUAAAAGUUCUCCCUCUACUAAAUUAUCAAAUCCUAAUUGUUAAAUUCAUGUUCAUUUCAAAGAUGAACUUUUUUAUACGCAAUUUUAACUUCAGUCGUGAUUUUUUUUUUUUCCAGAUGAUAUAGAGCAUCACCACUUUUAGAGCUAAGAUGGGAUGUAGACUAAAUUGGAGAUAAUUCUUAAUCGUCUGUGAAGGUGAUCUUCUGCAUUCUUAGUUAGAGUAAUAAAAGUAUAGUGAAGGUUAGUAAUGCAGUUUAAUGAUACUUUGCAUAUCUUAAUUGUUUCAUGAGUAAUUAUAUGUAAAUUCACUCUACACCUGUCUUUCUGUUUGUAUCUUUAUAAUAGCCUUGUGAUGAACAGCAAUUAAUCUUGUAAAAGUAAUAGUUGAUUUAAAACAGUUUAAUAUAUUAUAGAUAUUUGAAGAAGUUGAUAGAAAUUGUGUGAAUCCUUGAAUCAAUUUCUCAUAACAGAGAAACUAAGUGCAACAAACUAACAAAGAUAUAAUGGGUAAAUAUCUACUUUUAUAUUCUUUUAGCUCAGGAGUAUACUGUUCGUAGUUUUAAUAGACAAAGUCUAUAUACUUUCCCAAUAGUCCGCACCUACUUGAUGACUGCAGCUAAUGUCAAUAGAAGAUUGACUUAAUUCUGCUAGAAUCCACUAUAGCCUUCAAGAACCCCAUGUACCUUUCUGGCGGAAUUGCUGAUGCCAGAAUAUUCACCAUUGUGGUCCAUCUCAUCAAAGAUUUCGUCCUACACGGAAGUACAAUAAAAAAUAAUGAAUUUUUUGGGUCAAACAUCAAAUUACUAUCUUUUUUAAUUAAAGAGCACCAGUAUUCCCAUACUUUUAGCAGCUGCUCAAUGACAUCCUCCAUUGUUAUGAUGCCAAUAACUUCUUCUUCUUUAGUGAAGCUGGGAAGUGGAGCCUCAUCAAUGUGCAAGAUAUUAGAGUCAAUAGUUUCUGACCAUCUCUUACUUUUUGAGGUUUCUCUUCGUGAAAUACUUGCACUUCUGGGAAUAGCCUUUAAAUUCCUGAGUGAUCUUCUGCUCCUCCUUAACCCUAAAUUUUGGUGAUGACCUUCACCAUAAAUGUUCAGUCGUACUUCUCUCGCUGAAAUGAGUUUCAUUUAAGGUAAUCAGCUCAAUCAUUAAUGACAAAAUUAUGAAAGAAAGGAACCAAGAUGAUUCAUAUGUCAAUUAUGUGUUGUACAGAAAAAGCUUUAGAGAUCAAUCUACCAACUGACACAUGCUUACAGUUGGUUGAAUGUUCUGCCAUUUCGCUUCUAUGUCUUAGAACAAGUGCUAUAUGGCUGAGGCCUUCCUGAAACUCAUUCAGUAUGUCAUAUAAAGGCAUCUUCUCUGAGAUUCUAGUAUGACAGAAAUAAAAUUUAGUCCAGAUAGAUUAUACAUAUCUUUGCAAAUGUUUAAUAAAAUAAUAAAGUAAAAAUUAUCAAACUAUCCCAUAAUUAACAAAAGACGACCCAUAAUUUGAAAUCAGAAACUCAGUAUAAUUAUUGUUAUAUUUUAUAUAAUCUAUAAUCAAACACGAGUGCUUGGUGAUAAAAACUUUGGCUGCUGCCUGCUUGGGCCAACAUAAAUCUAACGCUAUAUCUUUAGAUCAGUAUGUGUUGCUUUUAAAAACUCUUCUGGGAAUUUUUUUUACUUAUUUUAUCAUAAAAUUUCUGCUAGGCAAGUUUAAGUAUAUAGACCUAUAUGUAAUAGGAUGUCCAGAAAAAUUUCCAGAGGUGGAACAUCAUAUAUUGAUGUUUAGGAAGCAGAGCUUGCUCAGAAACUUGUGUGCUUUUAAGAAUAUAGUUUAUAAUGUAAGAGCUGUAUAGUCAUAUAGGUAAAAUAAUAUAAAAUCAUGAAAUGAUUACCAAGCCGAGCAUAUCAACAACAUUGUAGGUUCAAUACUUAAUUCUGGUCUGUCCCUUCUGACUUGCAAAGUUGUGUAAACCCUUAAAGUGUAACGCGAUAUUUGGUAGUUUUAAACUGAAUAUGAUAUACUUCUCAAGAAAUACCUUGGAAUACGACGAAUAGUGAUAUUCUUUAUUGGUGUCUCGUUUGCAGGAUUUAUGGUCAAUAAACUUUUCACCUGCAAUUUGCAUGUAAAAUUUCAAUUAGAAUUGCUAUGAGCUACCAACUUCUAAGCUGAACCAACUUAUUAAAGCACACAGAUAUGCAGGUGAAUAAAGUGUAUCAUCUUGGAAGAACUGCUAAUCUCUCUGUCGUAGAAGAUGUAUUGAUGGAUUUUGUAAGUUUUAAUGCCCAUUAUAAAUUAAUAGGAGGAGAUUUAUUUAUAAGGACAUGAUAACAGUCUGUCUAUAUACAUUAUGUCUUGGCUGAAUCAGAUAUUCAGAUAUAUUACUAACAUUUAUAAGAAGUAAAGAAAAAUUUGCUGAAGUAAAUUGACCACCAGUUACCAGUAUGAGUCCAAUAAUGUUUCUUGGCUGCUCGUGGUAUAUGGGAAUUCUACUAUGCCCAUUCUCCAAUAUUAAAUGUAACAGUGCCCUGUACGUAUUAGACAAUGUAAUGAAAUCAAAUGAAGCAAAAAUGUAAGCACGUUUAAAAUUGAUCAACGUUUUGCCCCAGUAAUGAUUUAUCAUACGAGUCAAGUUUAGCAUUAAUAUCGACAGCAAAUACUUCUGACACUGGAGUCAUGGCAUCCCUUGCUGUUUUCUCCGCCAGCUCUAGUGCUCCUGAGAUGAUAGACGUCUCUUUACCCGACAGUUCUCCUCCUUUCCCUGCCUGCUUAGCAAGAGAAUGAAUAUGCUUCAGCAGGAAAAAUAGAUCUAGGACUUAAAGAACAUACAUAACAAACGUGAUAGCAUAUGGAGAACAUCAAUAAGGGCACCACACAAUUACAUAUUAGGAGCACUAGGUAUCAGAAAUGAAUAAACGAGUCCUUCAAUAGGUUUAGCUGGAUUUUGUCUGAUACAUACCUCAUUUCCGUGCAAAGAUACUAAAGUUUUUAGUUCAGCUCGACGAAAGAGAGCUGAACGUCCUUUCCCCAGCAUAAAGUCCAAUAGCUGGGAAUAACACACAAGUAUAGUCAAGGGUGAUUACUCGGAAGAAUGACGAUAUAGUUUACCUUAACGGAAUGAUUCAGAAAUGUCAAAAUAGCUGCUGGUAGUAAGAGAUCUUAAUUGUUACAGAACUUAGUACCUUGCUUAUUGGAUAUGCCACAGGAAAUAAACUCCAAAGAAGAACGUGUACCAAAGGAGCCAGUGCUGCACCAACUUUCAAACUGUACCGGCAACAGAUAGAGUGUGGUAUAAUCUGUAUGUAGAUGGAUGAACUGUCAGUUUUAAUCUUGCAAAGGUUAGAAAAUUUGGCUUCAGUUUUGCAGAGUAUUUUUUUUGUCCGAGGUUUACUUUUUAAGAAUAUAAAGGAAAAAGAGCAAGAUCGAGAAUUCUCAGCCAAAUUAGCUUAAAGCUCAAGUAUUUAGUGUUCAGAAAUACAUGAAUACAUUAUCCAGUUAGGGAACUGACCUCACCAAACAGAAGUAUCAAUGUGACUGAUAUAAGAAUAGCACCAUACUCAGGUAGGAGAUUCUGAAGUAGGAGAGGAAGUGCCUGCAAUAAGCAAUUUAUUGUUGUCAAAUGCUUGAUUAUAUAGUUAUAUGUUAUGAAAUGGGGAGACAGCCUAUGUGGUUUCUACCUCCAUUGCAGCAGUAUACGCGAUGAGAAGUGUACAAAGUAGUAGAUGUGGUCUCUUCACAACAGGCAAAAUCUUUGCUAGAGAUGCCAAAAGAUUAGCUUUUUGCAAAAAUUUCCUUAACCAAGUAAUAGCAUUAAUGCAGAUACAUAAAACUCUAUCCAUAUGUACUGGAUGUUGAUGUAACCUCAAAUUUUGAGUUGUUUAAAAGGUUAGUUUAACCUUUGUCGGAAUAUGCAUACAUCUGACUUCAUAUCGAGGAAAAGUCAUUUAGUUAAACCAGAAGUUGUAGCUGGUUGUAGUAUGUUCUUUUUCGAUAGAACUUGUAUUAUGUUCUUUAUAGUUGGCUUUCGAAGAUAUUUCUGAUAAUUCUAAAAAAAAAUCUACUGUAGCUCAUGUUGUUCUUGUUCCCGGCACACAAUUGUGGCAGGAAGUUGAAUGGACCCAUCUAAAUCCCUCGUAAAUACAGCAUGUUUCAUUCUUUUCAGGUCUCUGAUCAUAGAGAAAUUAUAAGGUGAUAUUAUGGAAGAACUACAGACGUGCGUUCACAGAUCAAGAACUAGUAUAUAUUAGCAUAUUUGUGCAGCAUUUAGAAGCAGAAUCAAGGAAUGAACAUGCAAAGAUAUAUACGGGUGUGUGUUUGAUCGUGUUCAAUGAUACGUACAUGCACGAAAGCGAUCCCUGCGUUUUCCAGACUUUCUAAUAACUUCAAGAUCUACCUGGCUCAUAGACAUGAGUCCCAAUGUGAGUCCAGAAGUCAUACCUGCAAACACUACCAACAUGGUGAUCAAUAUGAUGUAUAAAAAGAAGUGUGGUCUGCAGCAAUGGUAGUACUGGUGAAUCUCUUUCUCAGUUGAAGCUAUUUCAACAUCCAUUAUUUUCAUUUCUGAUUAAUUUGUUAUCAAUGUAUCACCAUGAGAAAUAUGUUUCAAGUACUUCUGCUGAAGAAUCACACCCACACACACACAUAUAAGCAUGUAUUUUCGUACACUUGAUAAUGAGAGUUGCAUAGUUGGCCUAUCCGGCAGAUAGUGAAUAUGAUUUGAUUCCAUUUCUGUACUGCCAUGAAAUUAUCGAUUUGUUUUAGAAUCAUCCUCUCUUCUAACAUACUGUAUGUUUUUUUAUAAUGCACAAGUGGGAGCAGGAGUGUGGAAGUAAUGGAGACAUGAGACUUUGGUCCCUCCAAUGUUGUUGUACUCUGCAAGGAACUUGCACAAACACUGCAGUAACCGAUUCAAUGGACACAUGGAAUCGAGAAGCUGGCAGCUGUGGACAAUCACACAGAUAUGUAUAUGUGGACUUAUAAAUUGUCAGUCAAGAUGAGCUAGAGUUAAAUAUUUACAAGCAAGUUGUAUCUUUUCAUGGAUUUGCAUGAUUGUUUUAUCGAAAAAUUUACAUGUUUUUGAUGGAGAGCUCCAGGUUUAUGUCUGGUCUAUUUGGCAGAGUAGACCAGACUGAUAUUCUAAUAGGAUGCAUGGUGUAAAUUAAGGAAUGAGUUUGUAUGGAUGUGUUUAUGCUCGAAUAUGCUGCCAUGUCAAACUAGAAAGCUCUUUCGUUUAGAGCCUCAUUACUUGUCUGAUUAAAUUUAUGACCUGUAUUUCAACUUAGUUUUCUCGUUUGUUAUGUUUUUCUUUCCUGCAGUUUUGUGAUUCUUAGUCUAUGCAGGUAAAAGGAGGAAAUACAAACUGCUGUCUUGUUAUCCUCCUUUUCUUUCCUGCUAUCUACGUACUUAUAAGUUUUUAUCCAUUUUUUACAAUAAAGUAUAUAUACAUUCACCCACUUAUCUUAUUUUUGAAAAGAUUUAAGCCAUCUUCUUGAUUCUAAUUAAAGUUAAGAUAAAAAUAAAUUUGAUAAAUUAUUUAUUGAGUAUUGAAGUUGAUUUUUACUAACAAAGAUUAUGAAAGAAACUAUAAAGAAUAUAUCCUACCAACUUCUGAUUUUAAAUCAGUUUCUAGUUUAUUUUAAAUUUGAAUCGAUUUCUGGUUUAUUAUAUAAAUGAAACCUCUAUCUUUUGUAUCGCUAAAAAUAGGUGCAAACCUCAGUCCCCAGCUGUGCACUAUAAUUUACACUAACUUUACUUGACUUCUUUCUACGAUUUUCUUUUUACAAAAACAUACUCCCUCCGUCCCUUUUUAUCUGUCCAUUUUGGAAAAAAAAACACAUACCAAGGAAUAAUUGAUUGUAUGAACUUUUUCAUUAAAUACCUCUAAUUAAUAUCUUGAAAAUGGUGGAAUACCCCUACUUUAUGUCUUGAAAACAUGAAUUCAACCAAGUUUUAAAUAAGUCAAGCCUUGAAAAUUGAAAUUAUGGAGAUAUAUUUGAAAAACUAUCAUUAAAUUAGUUUUGAAAGUAUAAAUGGACAGAUAAAUAGAGACAAAUUCUUACUUCCAAAGUGGACAGAUAAAUAGGGACGGAGGGAGUAUUUAAAACGUUCAAAUUCAACUCUCAAAUAUUAAAACAAAAAUAAGAAAAACCCAAAAAAAGGGGUCCGCCGACAGAAAUAGCAGAACUAUACCAGUGUGGAUCUAAACAUAAUUAUGGGAUGGCUAGGAUCAGCUCGUAGUCUUGAAUAAAUAAUGGGGUACAAACCUCGUUGUGCGGAAUAAUGCUCCCCUCACAUAAAUUAUACAUACACACAAUAUUACAAAACUGACCCACUACACAGCCCAACCCAGACCACAUCCACCGGCUCUGGAUCCAGACAUUAGAUCGGCGGCCAAUGUUGUCAUCCUACGUUUCUUGAUCUUAGGUACCGAACCAAACCCAUGUCUCUAUUUCAUUACUCUCAUUGUCCUAAUAUUUUAUGCUUUUAUCUUUGAUAUUGAUUACAAAUAUCAACUUUCCCUUAUUAGAUCUAUUUUAUGUACUUGCUUAUUCAUGCUUAAUUUUCAUUCUGCAUCUGUAUUUUUAGUGACCCUUAUCGUUAUUUUGUUUGAUUUUAAGUUUUGUUCAUCUUUUUCUUGAUUAUUGUGAGUAAGGUUUGGAACUUUAUUUAAUUUGCUGAGGUAUGAUGUUGAUGAGUUUGGUUCCUAGUUCUUUUGAGUUUAUUGUGUUGAUUCACUUUUGAGUUUAUUGUGUUGAUUCACAUUACUGUACCUUUCAAAUCUAGGGGCCUUUUUGAUAAUAGGACUUCAAAUUAACUUGGUUAAUGGGAAUGCGAAUGAGAGUUCGAUACAAAAAUGUAUUAAGUCUCAUUCUCAUUGCCAUUAACCGGAUCCAAAUGCCCUCUCCCUUAUUCGAUUGUUCUGCUUUGAGUCUGCUUAUACUUUUAUCCACUUAGCGUUCAAAUCUUGAACUAUAUUCAUACCAUCCAUACCCAGAAAGGAACAUAUCGGCAAUAUGUAAGUUAUAUGGGUAUCUUUGUUAAAGAUUUCCCGUUUUAGCAUGAAAUGAAGUUGAUAUAUUCCUGCACUUCUUUUACAUUCAACUUUUUCUUUAAAACGUUAUUAUAAUUUUGUCCUAGCUAUUAGAAUACAUUCCUUGACAUUGUAUUAUAAAUUGAUUAACCAGUUUCCUAGCAUCUUUUCGACUACUAUAUGUGCCUCAGCUUCUUAUUGUGUUCUUUUUUAAUUGUUUGCAACAGACUGAAUUCUUUUACACAUAGUAUAUUGAUUGAGUAGUCAUGGCAAGAAGUCAAGCAAUUAACGCAAGAAGGUUUACAAGGGGGCUUUCUCAUUCCAAAUCACGUUAUCCUAUACCCACUAUUCUUGUGUUUGUGGUACGGUUUGAAUUCUGUAUAUUACUUGUGACUGCCAAUCCUUUUUUAUUUUUAUUUUCGUACUCUUUUUAGCAUUUAAACAAUAUCACCAGAUAUCAUAUUUAGAUGCUGAUUGUUGUCCAUUAUAAAUCAGGCUGCAGUUGUUCUCAUUGGAUAUGUUUUUUGGGGAUCAGGUAUGUAUAUGAAUUGGCAUAAUAUCGACACGAUUACCUAACAAGUCUAUAAUUGAGGUCUUAAAUUUUUUAGGUCAGCCCUAAUUAGUCAUUAAACAUCCUAGGUGGUUUAUAAUUCUAAUUCAUUUCUGAAACAUAUCUAUGCCUUACAUAUAUAAAUGAUAGUUACUCCUUUUCUAGUGCAAGUAUGAGGUUAAGCUUUGUAGUUACGAAUUCUUACACCUUCUAUAAGUGUACUUACUGUGUUAUAUAUGUGCUUCAGGUGUUUCUGGGGGUAUUGGAGGAGGUUUCAGUAAAGUAGAAGGUAAAGCUAACUAAUGUUUUCUUAAUGUAUAGUCUUUUAUUUUCAUGGAUACAUACUAUAAGUUAAAUUCAUUUUUUCUUAUGAUUUAAUUCAAGUUUUUUAAUUUCUGAAAAACCCCCUAAUAGUUCAUCGAUAUCUUAGGCGCUGUUGAGAACAGUAAUUUCUGUAUUAUUUUUUGCUAUCUGAAGUUUUACUUAUACCAUAGUUACAUAGGACUGGGUUCGAUUCGAAACGGGGAACGAAAUCGGGUACGUGGAACAUUAGUUUUAGUGAAUCUGGUACGAUGGAACGUAUAGGUACGAUGGAACGUAUGGGUACGAUUGGUCCUUUUAAAAAGAAUUCUAUAAUCAUAUAUAUAAAUUCCAUUAUAAUAUACAAUUUUAGUUGAUAAUUUAUACAUUUAUAAUUUUUUAUAAAGAAAAAGAUAUUGAAUAACAAAUAAAAGUACACAUUUAUUGAUAAAAUAAAUUACUUAUCAUAUGACAUAGACAUGGAUCUAUUGUUCAAAACAAGAAUGAAGUGUGUUCUUGCGGGUCGUCACUUCCGGCGAUCUGGGUCGCGACCCUGAACGUUUCCGUUCGCGUUUCCGACCGUAUCGGGUACGAACGAUCUAGAUCGCGGUUCGUGGCAGCGUACCUGUUUCCUUGUAUCUAUGACUUAUACAUAGCCUUAAGAGGCUAAUAAAAGUUGUUCCUUAGUUAGCAUUUUUGCGUAAGCCCAGUUGCAGUGCACCGCGACAAAACUGGAAAUAUUACAUUUCUGACUUUUAAUAAUUUGGAUAAGACCUAGGGCUUGAGGUUCAUCAAUCCCAGUUAAAGUUGAUCUAUUUGUUCGCCGUGUUGAUCAUAUG
RNAcentral lists this long non-coding RNA (33982 nucleotides) under Daucus carota (carrot). RNAcentral describes it as "long non-coding RNA (DCAR_LNC005247)". Lineage: Eukaryota; Viridiplantae; Streptophyta; Magnoliopsida; Apiales; Apiaceae. The record is from RNAcentral.